This is an RNA transcript of Solanum stenotomum, 754 nucleotides long. It is a transcript of the gene named proteinase inhibitor type-2-like, with no coding region annotated. The transcript has 2 exons. Lineage: Eukaryota; Viridiplantae; Streptophyta; Magnoliopsida; Solanales; Solanaceae. The record is from RefSeq and is a predicted model, not a curated record.
AUGGCCGUUCACAAAGAUGUUAGUUUCCUUGCUUGCUUGCUUGUUCUUGGAUUAAUGUUUCUCCAUGUAAGUGCGACGAUAGACGAAGAUCGUGAUAUCAUCAAUCCCAGGCUUUUGUACUAGAGAAUGUGGUAAUUUUAGCUAUGCGAUAUGUCCACGUUCAGAAGGAGAUCCAAGAAACCCCAUAUGUACCACAUGUUGUACAGGCUACAAGGGUUGCCACUAUUACAGUGCUAACGGAACUUUCAUUUGUGAAGGACAAUCUGACCCAAGAAAGCCAAACGAACGUUGUUCCAAGGAAUGUGAUCGUAAAAUUGCUUAUUCAAAAUGUCCUCGUUCAGAAGGACCGACUAUAAUUAAACCCACUGGAUGCACCACAUGUUGCACGGGUUACAAGGGUUGCUACUAUUACGGUAAAGACAACAAGUUUGUGUGUGAAGGACAGAGUGAUGAACCCAAGGCUUGUACUCAACAAUGUGACCCUAAAGUUGCCUAUAUGACUUGCCCACCUGAAUCGACAAAACUUACUCGAAUUUGUGUCAAUUGUUGUACCGCAAAACCUGGGUGCAAACUCUAUGGUCAUGAUGGAUCUUUAAUUUGUAUCGGUGGCGUUAAAGGUCAUUAAUAGUUCUCAGUAAUAUGUAUGAAAUAAAAGUAUGACGAUGCAUGCAUUAUUGUCAUGCUAAUCUAUGUAAUGUGGGCAUUGGAGCUUUUUCCACCGCUUGCGCAAUAAAUUAAUAAAAUCUUUUACUUC